GAGAAUUUGGGCUUAGGAACACCACUAAGAAGAGGUCCACUUUGGGAACACCACCAGGAGAGCUCCAGUUUGCAGGCUGGGUGCUGGGCACAGCCCUUCAUUCCAUUUCCUCAGGACACACUGCUCUGCCUCUGCACUGGUCAUAUUUUGCUUCUGACUGCUCCCUCCAUCCCACAUUACGGACACUGGAGCUGCUUUCAGUGACAUUAAAACCAGCUUUUUUAAGUGGGUGGCACUGCUUCCCACAUAAAUGAAUCUCUGCUGCUAUGCACCAGUACAGAGGAUGCGAUACCAGCCAGAAAUCUGGGUGUUUGCCACCUGGCAAUGGUGUGCUUUCCUCCCACACCUUGACCUGUGCUCCAGGACAGGAAAGUGGAGAAUUUUUUAUCUUUAUGGCAUGCAGAGGUCUAAAUGACAACUACCUUUAAUACUGUAAACUGUCUCCGCUUCUCUUUCUUUCAGCUCUUCAAAGAAGCUUUCGCUCACAUCUUCCAAGGCCUGAAAGUGAAACAGCUUAUUAGGAAAACCUCUAGAAGUACAGUUCCAUACUUAAUAUCUCUGCUAUCAUUACCUCCUCCUUUCCUACCUACUCUCGGCAACAACAUCCUUCAUUUCUCCCCGCAGUCAUCCUUGCCUGCUGCUAUCCCUUAUUAAAUGCCUCCUCCCCUGAAGAUUCCAUCUCUCACACUAUAAUUUUUCUUCCAGCAGGAGCAUGGGCUCCACUUGAGCUCUGGACAUCCCUGAGGGAUCACCAGAGAGGAAGGUGCCCAUGGUGUAACUUGCCUGGGUAGCUGCUGCCGUUAGAUCAUCCACAAUCCACCGAGGUGGAGACCAGAACACCCAGAUUGCUUUACCUGGCUCACCGGCCAUGCCCAAAUGUUCUCCAGGUAAGGAUGGCCUCUUGAGCAGCUUCAUCAUGUAUAACCUUCGCCUUCUGAAGAGCUUCUUCAAAGUUCACGAUUGCAGACCGAUAAUCCUUUAAUUGUACUGCAACAGACAAAUGAAAACAUCAAUUUUAACUACCACAGCGUGGAGCUGCCACUCAACAUCUCCCUCUUCAUUUGCUGACUGCAAGGACUUCUCUCCAUAAUUACGGGCUGCUUCAGCUUGAUUGAGCUCAAAGUAACAUCGGCCAAUUUCAUGGAACAGCCAGGUCUUCUCCAGGCUGGAUUUUGCCAUUGGAAUCUUCUCCUCCCAUCUUUACGCGCAGAGGCUCUGGAUACGGCAUCUGGCAGGUUGCUGCGUUGAAAAGAAAAAGAAAUCAUCACUGAAAUAGUCUUGUUCCUGAUACAGCCUGCGCUUUCUUCAGCUUCACGAUUUCUUUGGUGCUCAACAUGACUUCAGGAGAAAUGUUGAGAAUUAAAGGUAAAGGACUGAUGUCAGCCUGAAAGGCAGAAAAUCAAGCCUCCUCUUCUCCAGGCUGAACAACCCCAACUCUCUCAGCUUGUCCUUGGAUGGUUCUCCAGCCCUCGGAUCAUCUCCGUGGCCCUUGUGGUCCUUAGAAAUCCCUGACCAGUGCCUGGGUCCCUGACACGAAUGGAUAAUUCCUUUCCAAGAGGAAAGGGAAGACCCCAAAGCCUGCCUGCAAAGUGCAGACUUCUACAAGCCUCUGGGCUUCGUUCCCAUCUUCCAACGUGGCCUGCUUUGAUUACCCUUGCCUUGCAAAUGAAAAACCUGAUGAGAGGAUAAAGCAUCGCUGAGGGCAAUGGGCAUCAUUAACAAUAUCUCGCUGCACCCCAGCCACAGCAGGGCCGGCUCCCCCUCAUCAUCCCAGCAUUUCAGCCCCUUAAACACUAUUUCAUAUUGGUUUAAAAAGUACUAAAAUUACAUAUCUCAUUCCUGCCCAUUUUUAAGUUUAUUUGGUGUAACUGGGGAGCGGAGAUCACCAGGACAGAGGCAGAAAUUUCCUAAACCACUAUUAAUUUUAAGAAGUGAUUUGUGAAAACAAUAAAUGUUGUUAACGUUAACAGCCUUAAGUGGUAUUGGUGAAAAUCAAAUCAAAAUAACUUCAAUUCAAGUAACUAUUUUUUCUCAC
Cuculus canorus (common cuckoo) is the source of this 2035-nucleotide long non-coding RNA. RefSeq lists it as uncharacterized. The record is from RefSeq and is a predicted model, not a curated record. Lineage: Eukaryota; Metazoa; Chordata; Aves; Cuculiformes; Cuculidae. The transcript has 8 exons.